GUGGGUUUUUUGUUAUGGUGGUAGUAUUUUAUCCUGUUGGAAAGAUAUUUGUUUGUGGAUUUUUUCUUGAAGAGAAGGAAAUUCAUCCACCACCGUUGAAUGAAUUCAACACUGCUUUGGAAUCAGUGAGUAUUCUAAUUUAAUAAAUGUCAAUUUUCACUGGUAGGUAUAAUGAAUAUUAUUAAAAAUGGAACAAUUUGUUCCCAAGUUGAGAUUUUUAAUAAUAGAGUUAUACCUACCAG
Molecule: long non-coding RNA, 242 nt
Filed under: Mytilus galloprovincialis (Mediterranean mussel)
Lineage: Eukaryota; Metazoa; Mollusca; Bivalvia; Mytilida; Mytilidae
Source: RNAcentral